GACUAAAAUAGUAGCCUCAGGCAGCAGGUACUGUCCUUAUCACCCAUGGCUAAUAACUGGACGCUGAGUACCAGAAAUGUCUCUCAGCUAAUAAGUGGUGGAGCUGCAGUUUAAACUUGAGAAAUCUCGUUCCAGAGCUGUGACCUUAAACACCAGGUCAAACAUUCUCCAACCGUGUGGUCCCAGCCUGUCUACCGGUCCAAAACUCCUCUUGGGGGUUCACAAAAUGAAAACUAUUUUCACAAUACUUUUUCACUCUCAUUCUCUCAGGGGUGUACAGUGUAAUUAUCUAGAGGCUUCUGAAUCCAGAGGCUAUAUGACAUAAACAAGAACUCUUUUGAAUGUCUUAAACUUUUAAGAACAUAAAGGAAUCCCGAGGCCCAGAGUUUGAGAAGCCUUGCACUAGGCCAGGGUCUCUCAACCUCAGCACUGUCAUUUCUUUGUUGUGGGCACUGCAGGAUGUGUAGCAGCAUCCCUGGCCUCUACCUACUAGAUACCAAGUAGUACCCCUCAGGACAACCAAGUGUUUCCUGACAUUACCAAAUGUCCUUUGGGGGAAAAAUGUCUCUGGUUGAGAACCACUGCACUAGGCUAUGCUAUUCUUUUCUCUGCCAGGGCUGCCAGCCCUGUUGGUGAUGACUUUAAUUUCGAACCUCCCUUCCCCCUCACAAUCUCGUAAUUUACCUAUUUUCAGUUAACCUCUGCGGGGCAGGGAUUGUGUCUUUAUUACUCUGAUUCCAGCCCCCAGCCCAGACCUGGCAUAGAUGAAGGGUCAGUUUUGUAAGCGCUGGGUGAGGUAAGGGAGCAGCGCUUUCACUUAAGGGUCCCCAAAGAAAGUGGCAUUUAAGUUGAGUCAGACACAUGGCAGAUAGCUGCUCUUUAAGCCCAGUUGAAUCUUGUCAGAUUCUCUGAAUUGAUUCUCCCCAUUACCCCUCUGCAGACUCCCCCUCCCCAUUUAUCUGGGCAGCCAGGUAAAUCCAAGAGACGUCCAGCCCUAGACCGUUUUUUCACCUUCCAGAGGCCAACCUCUGCCCACACCAGUGACCCUACCACUUCCCAGAGCAGUUGGGUGAAUUCUAAUCCUUUUAAAUCCACCCUGGCAAUCCUGUCCCCCUUUGCAAGGCCCUCCUUUUCCCAUCCUCCGUUGCUGCCAGAAGUGGCCAUGUCAUCUGAUUCUAGCCAAGAAAUGGCACCGGAAGUCUGCUGAGGAGCUUGUGGAAGUUCCAGCCGUUAAAAGAAAACAGGCAGCGUCUAGGGCCCAUGCCUCCUCACCUAAGAUGCGGAAGAUGAAGUGUAGCUGUUCCUCCACCGUGGAGCCCGGGAAGAGGGGCCGGCCUGUGGCCAUCUCAUAGAAGAUGCAGCCCACACCCCUGGGCAGGGAGGGCACAGUGAAUAGAGAGGCAGCUGACUGGGUGGCUGUUGUGACCAAGCCACCCCCUUUACCACGUGGCCCCUGCCACACUUCCACCUGUCCUUACCACAUGUCAAUCUGAGUGGAGUAGUCCGUGGACCCGAGCAGGAUGUCAGGGGGCCGGUACCACAGUGUCACCACCUCAUUGGAGUAUGUCUUUGUUGGGAUUGACUUGGC
This is a long non-coding RNA of Chlorocebus sabaeus (green monkey), 1588 nucleotides long. RefSeq lists it as uncharacterized. NCBI's taxonomy places the organism in Eukaryota, Metazoa, Chordata, Mammalia, Primates, Cercopithecidae. The record is from RefSeq and is a predicted model, not a curated record.